GCCCCUUCACCUUCCGGCGCGGUGUCCGCGGCCCUCCGGUGGUCAGCGACUACCUGCCAGCGUCGCUCCCUGGGAACGACUGGGCCGCUGGUGUGGCCUCCUGUCUCACAGGGGCUGCGAAGUUCCCCCUAGGAGCUCUGCGUGAAGUGCCGGCAUGGCUAAAUAAAACGCUUAAAUCGGCUAAAGGAUACAAGAGACAUCUGAAGGAUAGAGAAGGACCACAGCCAUCUCUGGGCUGCUCGAGUUGGAGCAGGGUGGUUAGGAAGAGGAUUCUGGAGAAGAUACCACAGUUGAUAUAAAAAUCUCAGAAGGUUCUUACACUGCAGGCCCUUGCUGUCUCAGAGAAACCAAGACCUAGGCUAGUCACACCACCAUUUUAGUAGCCACUUUGCUAAGUGUAUAGCUGUGGCAGGGUCAGACUGACUUUCACGGAACAGACUGGAUGACUGAGAUUUUUUAUUUUCAGUUGUGACUUACUGCCUGGAACAGCCAGAGGAGCCUCCAGAUUAUACAGUAAAAAUAAGUUAAUUUCUUUUCCUGUGUUUCUACUUCGGAUUACAGAAAUUUUAAAAAGUCUUAAGCGCUAAGUAAAAUGUGCUGUUUCAUUGCCCAUUCUCAUACUUUUUACUUCCUCCUUUUCUAUAAUUAUUCCCUGUAGAUUUUAAGAUCUUUGGUCUAGGGAAUCAUUGCCCAUUUAUUUACUAAGUGCUUAGUUUGUUUCAAGUGCUGUACAAGUAACAGUAUUAUUCAAUGAGAAGCCAAGCUCUGCUGAAGAAAAGUGGCUGAAAUAUUAAUUUUAAAAUGUUGGUACUAGUCAGUUGAUUUGAAUUAUGAACACAUAUUGUUCCUGAGUAUUUGAAUGAGUUAACUGUGGAAGGCAGUUGGAGUAUCUUUAAGCCAGUGCUGCAGAAAUUAUCUGAAAUAUUCAUCCUAAGCAAAGGGAAAAAUUGUAGGAAAUCUCUUUAUUCACAAUUAACAGAGACACCCUUAAUGUUAUGUGUCAACAGAGCACCUACAGAGAAUGGAAAAAGAAUAAAUAUUUUGACAGGGAGAAAGCCUAGAGGAAAGGUGAAAAUGUCAAAAGUGAAGCUGAGUUAGACCCUGCAAAGGAAAUUCAAGCAAAUAGUGAAAAGGUAAGUUGGCCACAUCCACACUAAGAAAGAAAUGGAUACCUUAUAUAGUAUAGAUAUGGUUGUGAUUAAAGAUAAUCUAGAAAUCACCCCAAACUACCUCACUGAGUAUUUACUUCAGCUUCAGUAAAGAUAAUGAUGUAGUACAUGGAGGCAGAACCAAGAUGGUUAAUGAGAACGGGUAUGGAAACAGAAUUUUGCACAUGCAAGAUGAAAGCAAAGUGAAAGUAUUCAGCUCUCAAGUAAAAAGAAUACUAGGAGAUCCAGUAACUGAAAUCAUAAAGACAGUAACAAGAAUUUUAAUGCAUUUAUCAAUUCAGAUGGCAUUACCAUAUGACUAAAGAACAGAAAAUGAAGUAGCUAUCUUUAAGGAGAAAAGUGAUCA
Struthio camelus australis is the source of this 1515-nucleotide long non-coding RNA. RefSeq lists it as uncharacterized. Lineage: Eukaryota; Metazoa; Chordata; Aves; Struthioniformes; Struthionidae. The record is from RefSeq and is a predicted model, not a curated record.